RNAcentral lists this ribosomal RNA (374 nucleotides) under uncultured bacterium. RNAcentral describes it as "bacterial SSU rRNA". It matches the Rfam family "Bacterial small subunit ribosomal RNA", at positions 524 to 898 of the family's 1533-position model. The record is from RNAcentral.
GACGAAGGUGGCUAGCGUUAUUCGGAUUUACUGGGCAUAAAGCGCGCGUAGGCGGCUUGGCAAGUCGGAGGUGAAAGCCUGCAGCUCAACUGCGGUGUGCCUCCGAAACUGCCGAGCUUGAGUGCGGGAGGGGUGAUUGGAACUCCAGGUGUAGCGGUGAAAUGCGUAGAUAUCUGGAGGAACACCAGAGGCGAAGGCGAAUCACUGGACCGCAACUGACGCUGAGGCGCGAAAGCUAGGGGAGCAAACAGGAUUAGAUACCCUGGUAGUCCUAGCUGUAAACGAUGGGCACUAGGCAGUGGAGAUCCGAUGUCGUCACUGUCGAAACAAAUGCGAUAAGUGCCCCGCCUGGGGAGUACGGCCGCAAGGCUGAA